RNAcentral lists this ribosomal RNA (482 nucleotides) under uncultured bacterium. RNAcentral describes it as "bacterial SSU rRNA". It matches the Rfam family "Bacterial small subunit ribosomal RNA", at positions 28 to 507 of the family's 1533-position model. The record is from RNAcentral.
GACGAACGCUGGCGGCGUGCCUAACACAUGCAAGUCGAGCGGAGUCGAUCGACGGAAGCCUUCGGGCGGAAGAUGGUUGACUUAGCGGCGGAUGGGUGAGUAACGCGUGGGCAACCUGCCUCGAAGACCGGGAUAACAGACCGAAAGGGCUGCUAAUACCGGAUGUGGUCAAGGAUCCGCAUGGAUCUUUGAUUAAAGGGGAAACCCGUUUCGAGAUGGGCCCGCGUCCUAUCAGCUAGUUGGUGAGGUAAAAGCUCACCAAGGCGACGACGGGUAGCCGGCCUGAGAGGGUGACCGGCCACACUGGAACUGAGACACGGUCCAGACUCCUACGGGGGCAGCAGUGGGGAAUCUUCCACAAUGGGCGAAAGCCUGAUGGAGCGACGCCGCGUGAGCGAAGAAGGCCUUCGGGUUGUAAAGCUCUGUCUGGAGGGACGAAGGAAGUGACGGUACCUCCGGAGGAAGCCACGGCUAACUACGUG